UGGGGAAUAUUGCGCAAUGGGCGAAAGCCUGACGCAGCAACGCCGCGUGGGUGAAGAAGGCCUUUGGGUCGUAAAGCCCUGUCAGAUGGGAAGAAACCUGCGCAAGCAGCUGACGGUACCAUCAAAGGAAGCACCGGCUAACUCCGUGCCAGCAGCCGCGGUAAUACGGAGGGUGCAAGCGUUGUUCGGAAUCACUGGGCGUAAAGGGCGCGUAGGCGGUCUGCCAAGUCUGAUGUGAAAGCCCGGGGCUUAACCCCGGAAGUGCAUUGGAAACUGGUAGACUUGAGUUCGGGAGAGGAGAGCAGAAUUCCCGGUGUAGGGGUGAAAUCCGUAGAUAUCGGGAGGAAAACCAGUGGCGAAGGCGGCUCUCUGGAACGAAACUGACGUUGAGGCGCGAAAG
This 400-nucleotide ribosomal RNA is filed under the name uncultured bacterium. RNAcentral describes it as "bacterial SSU rRNA". It matches the Rfam family "Bacterial small subunit ribosomal RNA", at positions 355 to 759 of the family's 1533-position model. The record is from RNAcentral.